GACGAACGCUGGCGGUGUGCUUAACACAUGCAAGUCGAACGGAAAGGCCUCUUUCGGGGGGUACUCGAGUGGCGAACGGGUGAGUAACACGUGAGUAACCUGCCCUUUACUUUGGGAUAACUUCAGGAAACUGGGGCUAAUACCGGAUAGGAGCUCCUGCUGCAUGGUGGGGGUUGGAAAGUUUCGGCGGUUGGGGAUGGACUCGCGGCUUAUCAGCUUGUUGGUGGGGUAGUGGCUUACCAAGGCUUUGACGGGUAGCCGGCCUGAGAGGGUGACCGGCCACAUUGGGACUGAGAUACGGCCCAGACUCCUACGGGAGGCAGCAGUGGGGAAUAUUGCACAAUGGGUGGAAGCCUGAUGCAGCAACGCCGUGUGCGGGAUGACGGCCUUCGGGUUGGAAACCGCUUUCGCUCAUGACGAAGCUUUGUGUGACGGUAGUGGGUAAAGAAGCACCGGCUAACUACGUG
Molecule: ribosomal RNA, 467 nt
Filed under: uncultured bacterium
Lineage: Bacteria
Description: partial 16S ribosomal RNA
Rfam family: Bacterial small subunit ribosomal RNA
Source: RNAcentral